Monodelphis domestica (gray short-tailed opossum) is the source of this 108-nucleotide small nucleolar RNA. Its record names the gene U3. It matches the Rfam family "Small nucleolar RNA U3". Rfam says of the family: Small nucleolar RNAs (snoRNAs) are involved in the processing and modification of rRNA in the nucleolus. There are two main classes of snoRNAs: the box C/D class, and the box H/ACA class. U3 snoRNA is a member of the box C/D class. The record is from Ensembl. NCBI's taxonomy places the organism in Eukaryota, Metazoa, Chordata, Mammalia, Didelphimorphia, Didelphidae.
AAGACUAUACUUUCAGGGAUCAUUUCUAUGUAUGUUACUAGAGAAUUGUAGCUGAACAUGUCCUGUCAGAUCUAUGAAGAAAGGAAGAAUGUAUGACCAAAGAAGAGA